UGAUGCCCGUACUGUUUGCAUUGCAGGGAGUUCUGUUGUUGAACUCGUUCCAGGCUGGCCGUGUGGACUUGGUGCCUGUUUGUGCUGAAGUGCGCUGGUCGUGCUCCUAGUAUGCAUCUCACAGUUCAGUUCUAGCUGAAAGGAAACCACGUCAUCUGCUCCAGGACUGCUUCCUGAUGCACAGUCAGUGGGAACAAUUAAAAAGUUAGCUUUAUGUGCAAAGAAAUUGAGGUAGAUGCACCUUUGAGACUAUAAUUUAUGGCUUGUGCUGGCUUUUCUCUCUUGGCAUUGCUUUCUAAGAACCUUACCAGAAAUGAGCCCCAUGACAAAUUACAUGGCUUUUAUCAUAUUACCAGGCACAUGAUAGAGUGCUGUAUCUAUUCAAGGGAUGCUCUCAAUCCCUCAGCAAAACCAGCCUAUCUGCACAGCCUUCUGUCUCCCCAGGCUUGCAAGGUGCACACCAGCAGGACAGGGGAGGGGAAUGAGGAGGGACUGUCCAGAAACUGAGCAGUCUGCUUCUUCCUUCUAGUGACAGGACGCAUCAUACUCCUGAGGUUUAUUUUGGUUUCUCUUCUAUCACUCAAGGCUGUUCCCUUCCCUGAUGCUUUUUAAGGGUAACAAAUGUGGGUGUGGUGUUAGUAAAGUCAUCUGCUAGUAAAGUCAUAUUUCAGAGGAAACCUAGAUUGGUAGUACUGGUUCAGUCUUCCAAGUAGUGGAAGUAUUUGAUCUACUAGGAUAGAACUCUGCACUCCUGCAGUUAUGACAUGACUUUUUGAGAUAAUCGUGUCAAAACUAUGAGCUUUAGGGUUUUCUUACUUUGUUUUCUAAGAUUAUUUUGUCUUUGCAUGACAGCAUUGUGACUUCUGCAAGUCUUGUGCCACUAUGCGCCAUGGAGCAGCUUGAUAUCUCACUAUGGUAUUUGAGGAAUGAAAAUUGUUGGGCAGGUGAAACGUGUCUAACGGGCCAGAUUCUUGAUUCAGAAACCUGUUAAGAUUAUCUUAUUUUCUAUUCUGUGUUCAAAAUAUAUAUUAGGGAGGCCUAGUAGCUUUGGAAGGCUUAGACUUGAAGGCACUGUUCAUCACGGAAUUGGUGUUCUGUGUCCAAAAGAAGAAAAGAAAGAUGUGUUUCAUCAUCACUAUUGCUCCAGACUGUCAGAAAUAACUUCAGCUUGGACAAAUUGCCCAAAAGAACCAGUUGUGUCAGCUGUGCUAAGAUUUGUAACUGAGGAUGAUGCAGGAUAUGGGGUUUGGUAUUUAUGUUUAAACAGCACUAAACUCCCAGAUAAGCUGCUGCUGCUUGAUGCCAUGCAUUGUGUGAGCACACUCACACGUUCUUGUGAGUAACACUCACUGAUGUUUGUUGUUCAUAACUGAAGUACUUAAAAAUGCUUCAGACGUCUCGGCUUGUGAAACUUGUUGUUUCCAGUAAAUGCAUUUGCUGUAUUGUCUCCUAAAUUUCUGCUUGAACGUUGUCCAAGGAAGUCUGCUCUGUUGUUGUAUUCUUAUUAUUUUGGCUUUGAUUGUAGUUGGCUGCUUUCUUAAAGACACCACAGUGUUGCAGAAUUUACCAUUGGAGGUAGUUUUAAACAUUUACUCUUGACUUUCCCUGGCAACUCAUUUAUGUAAUACUUCUAUAAUUCUGUUCAGGUUGUAUUUCUCUUUCUGGCUCUGUAGAGAGAUGGAUGUGUUACAGCAGCUAAUGGCUGUGCUUGGGAACCGAGGGAGCUACCAGUAUGCAGAGCGCUGUGAGAGGGGUGAAAUAAGGAGAGCUUGUUUGCUCAUUAAUUUUGUCUGCAGCAGCAGUAAUGUUGGAGCUGCUCCUCUCUUACUCUCUAUACCUUCCGCUAUUCUAGUCCUUUAGCUUGUACCCAUAAUAGCUUGGUUUUCAAAUUGCAGGAAUGAAAAACGGGCUAGUUUAGCUCCUCAAAGUUCUGCAUCUUAUUAGCAAUUCACUGAAGGGAACAACCAAUUUCUUGUUGAGGGUAACCUGUGGUGGCCUCUGCUGCUUGUAGAAUGUUCUGUGCUUGUUCUGAAUUCUGCUCCUUUGCUGGAGUUCUCCUGUAUGUGCCUAUAUUGGCAUCUAAAGCAGAGCCAUUUUGGAGUGAAGAUGAACAUGUUUUCCUGAUCGGCUCUAGAGAAAAGUACAGUUUUAAGGGGAGGAUUAGAGGUAUAUGUGAUGCUGUUUUAACUUCGAUACCUGGCCAAAUUUUAAAUGACCAUUCAGCAUUUAAAAAUGUCCUUUGAAUGAAUCCGUGCGCCUAACGCUGUCAGCAGAGCUGCUAACAAAGAGCACCGAUGCUGCCGCACAGCUGAGCCGGGCGAAUGAGAGCGUGAGCAAUGACAAAGGGGUUUUCUUCUGUGAGAACAGUGCUGCUGGAAAAAAAUCAGAAGACAUGUAGAAGCUGCUGAAAUAAUGUCACUCAUCAGUCUUUCUCUGACUAAAGAGUGAAGGAAGAACUAAUGGAGUCUGGCUUUACCCAUGGACUAUAAUUCUGGAAUGCUGCUGUCUCAACAUGAAGGGCUUUUGCUUGUUGAAGAAGCAUUCAGUGCUGAUAAGCAGAUGAGAAAGCUGUGGAGUAGCCUUACUGCGCUGAGACGAGUAGCCUUUCUUUAAGGGGCAGUAAUUGUUGUUACUGUAGAAUCAUUUAGGUUGAAAGGGACUGCUAAGAUCAAGUCCAGCUGUCUUUUAACACUACCUGUCCACCAUGAAACCAUGUCCUUUAGUGCCACAUCCAUGUCUUACUUAGCCCUGGCACAUUUUAUGGAUGCGUCUGCAGCCUCAUCAGUGUUUUAGUACGUUUCAAACUGAUUUAGACUAAUAAUCACCAUUUCAUAGUCAGUGAUUAAUUCAUAUAAUGUUAUCGUAUGGAGCAUAUAUGCUCUGACAGCAGAGCAGAGAGCUGUAUGCCAUUUAAAGCUUUGUGACGGUUUAUUAGUGAUUGUUUUAUUCUGCCUUGUGUCUAAUUGUAAUGUUACAGCAAAAAGGAAAAAAAAAUCAGUGUAGGGGCCUCUUCUCGUUUCUACAAAUGAUUCAAAAUCGUCUUCGAUGGGAAUAUAAAAUCUCAAGCUCUUCUGUAAGUUGUUUAAAAAUUGUGAAUAAAAUAGUUUUCCAACA
Long non-coding RNA from Gallus gallus (chicken), 3114 nucleotides. RefSeq lists it as uncharacterized. The record is from RefSeq and is a predicted model, not a curated record. Lineage: Eukaryota; Metazoa; Chordata; Aves; Galliformes; Phasianidae. The transcript is spliced from 2 exons.